AUUGAACGCUGGCGGCAGGCCUAACACAUGCAAGUCGAGCGGCAGCGGAAAGUAGCUUGCUACUUUGCCGGCGAGCGGCGGACGGGUGAGUAAUGUCUGGGAAACUGUCUGAUGGAGGGGGAUAACUACUGGAAACGGUAGCUAAUACCGCAUAACGUCGCAAGACCACAGAGGGGGACCUACGGGCCUCUUGCCAUCAGAUGUGCCCAGAUGGAUUAGCUAGUAGGUGGGGUAAUGGCUCACCUAGGCGACGAUCCCUAGCUGGCCUGAGAGGAUGACCAGCCACACUGGAACUGAGACACGGUCCAGACUCCUACGGGAGGCAGCAGUGGGGAAUAUUGCACAAUGGGCGCAAGCCUGAUGCAGCCAUGCCGCGUGUAUGAAGAAGGCCUUCGGGUUGUAAAGUACUUUCAGCGGGGAGGAAGGUGUUGAGGUUAAUAACCUCAGCAAUUGACGUUACCCGCAGAAAAAGCACCGGCUAACUCCGUGCCAGCAGCCGCCGUAA
This 505-nucleotide ribosomal RNA is filed under the name uncultured bacterium. Its description in RNAcentral is "partial 16S ribosomal RNA". It matches the Rfam family "Bacterial small subunit ribosomal RNA", at positions 30 to 523 of the family's 1533-position model. The record is from RNAcentral.